GUAGUGACCUGCGGAGGAUCAUUACCUAGAGUUUGUAGACUUCGGUCUGCUACCUCUUACCCAUGUCUUUUGAGUACCUUCGUUUCCUCGGCGGGUCCGCCCGCCGAUUGGACAACAUUCAAACCCUUUGCAGUUGCAAUCAGCGUCUGAAAAAACAUAAUAGUUACAACUUUCAACAACGGAUCUCUUGGUUCUGGCAUCGAUGAAGAACGCAGCGAAAUGCGAUAAGUAGUGUGAAUUGCAGAAUUCAGUGAAUCAUCGAAUCUUUGAACGCACAUUGCGCCCCUUGGUAUUCCAUGGGGCAUGCCUGUUCGAGCGUCAUUUGUACCUUCAAGCUCUGCUUGGUGUUGGGUGUUUGUCUCGCCUCUGCGUGUAGACUCGCCUUAAAACAAUUGGCAGCCGGCGUAUUGAUUUCGGAGCGCAGUACAUCUCGCGCUUUGCACUCAUAACGACGACGUCCAAAAGUACAUUUUUACACUCUUGACCUCGGAUCAGGUAGGGAUACCCGCUGAAACUUAAUCAUAUCAAUAACCGGAGGAA
This 540-nucleotide ribosomal RNA is filed under the name Epicoccum nigrum. Its description in RNAcentral is "eukaryotic LSU rRNA". The stretch from base 168 to 321 matches the Rfam family "5.8S ribosomal RNA". Lineage: Eukaryota; Fungi; Ascomycota; Dothideomycetes; Pleosporales; Didymellaceae. The record is from RNAcentral.